CUAAGAAUCACCUAGAGAUCUUGUUAAAAUACAGGUUCUCAUUCACUUGGUCUGGGAUGUGGCCUGAGAUCUCUGUUUCUACAAGAUUGUGGGUGAUGUCCAU
This 103-nucleotide microRNA precursor is filed under the name Marmota monax (woodchuck). The record is from RNAcentral. Lineage: Eukaryota; Metazoa; Chordata; Mammalia; Rodentia; Sciuridae.